Molecule: long non-coding RNA, 509 nt
Organism: Dioscorea cayenensis subsp. rotundata (Guinea yam)
Lineage: Eukaryota; Viridiplantae; Streptophyta; Magnoliopsida; Dioscoreales; Dioscoreaceae
Exons: 2
Source: RefSeq, a predicted model, not a curated record
UAUCUCUUUGUUUCCAUUUCUUCUUCACUUCGCCGGAGAGGGUUUUCUUUUCUUCGACGAGCUUCUUCGGCGAAUCAUCACUUCUAUCCUAUUUCUCUCAUUCUCCUGAGCUUGCGGACUUAAGUCCAACACUGCAGUAUGGGGUUCCACGGUCCGGCCUGAUGGGAGGCGGCGUGGUCAACCCUGAGUUUACCCUGGUCAAGAGGUGCGCGGAGCCAUUGACGGGGGUCUUUUAUGUGAGAAACCUGGGGUCACCACACGGGGACUCAGUGGCCAACACAAAGGAAGGCAACAUUUGUGAAUUUUAAAAGUCUUAAAACACCUUGGUGGUCCCGUAGCUAGUCCCGGCCACGAUUAGCUUGGAAAUUGUUUAAGGCCAGCCUGUAUUUUGAGUGGUGCUCAAUGUGUUGGAAAAUGUUACUUACCUGUACUAUUUAUGAACCAUUGUGUUAUCUGUUAACUUGUCGAAUACUUAGAACUACUUUUAUAUGUUAUUUUUAUUAUGGUUA